Molecule: ribosomal RNA, 870 nt
Filed under: uncultured Actinomycetes bacterium
Lineage: Bacteria; Bacillati; Actinomycetota; Actinomycetes
Description: bacterial SSU rRNA
Rfam family: Bacterial small subunit ribosomal RNA
Source: RNAcentral
GCCGCGGGAUUAGAGUUUGAUCCUGGCUCAGGACGAACGCUGGCGGCGUGCUUAACACAUGCAAGUCGAACGGUAAGGCCCCUUCGGGGGUACACGAGUGGCGAACGGGUGAGUAACACGUGGGUAAUCUGCCCUGCACUUCGGGAUAAGCCUGGGAAACCGGGUCUAAUACCGGAUAUGAACUCCUGCCGCAUGGUGGGGGUUGGAAAGUUUUUCGGUGCAGGAUGAGCCCGCGGCCUAUCAGCUUGUUGGUGGGGUAAUGGCCUACCAAGGCGACGACGGGUAGCCGGCCUGAGAGGGUGAUCGGCCACACUGGGACUGAGACACGGCCCAGACUCCUACGGGAGGCAGCAGUGGGGAAUAUUGCACAAUGGGCGAAAGCCUGAUGCAGCGACGCCGCGUGGGGGAUGACGGUCUUCGGAUUGUAAACCCCUUUCAGUAGGGACGAAGCGCAAGUGACGGUACCUGCAGAAGAAGCACCGGCUAACUACGUGCCAGCAGCCGCGGUAAUACGUAGGGUGCGAGCGUUGUCCGGAAUUACUGGGCGUAAAGAGCUCGUAGGCGGUUUGUCACGUCGUCUGUGAAAUCCCUCGGCUUAACCGGGGGCGUGCAGGCGAUACGGGCAGACUUGAGUACUACAGGGGAGACUGGAAUUCCUGGUGUAGCGGUGAAAUGCGCAGAUAUCAGGAGGAACACCGGUGGCGAAGGCGGGUCUCUGGGUAGUAACUGACGCUGAGGAGCGAAAGCAUGGGUAGCGAACAGGAUUAGAUACCCUGGUAGUCCAUGCCGUAAACGGUGGGCGCUAGGUGUGGGGUCCUUUCACGGACUCCGUGCCGUAGCUAACGCAUUAAGCGCCCCGCCUGGGGAGUA